GGUUCCGGAUGAGGGCAUUUCCUUAAUAGCUCUUUAAAUAUUUCCCAUGACUCAUAUAAAGAUUUUUCAUCCAUUUGCUAAAAGGUAAUGAUUUCAUUUCGCAACUU
Molecule: small nucleolar RNA, 107 nt
Filed under: Gossypium hirsutum (cotton)
Lineage: Eukaryota; Viridiplantae; Streptophyta; Magnoliopsida; Malvales; Malvaceae
Also listed under: 1 other name
Description: Plant small nucleolar RNA R71
Rfam family: Plant small nucleolar RNA R71
About the family: R71 is a member of the C/D box family of snoRNAs containing the C (UGAUGA) and D (CUGA) box motifs. Multiple nearly identical copies of this snoRNA have been identified in Arabidopsis, and it is thought to function as a 2'-O-ribose methylation guide for 18S ribosomal RNA.
Source: Rfam by way of RNAcentral